CAAGCGGUGGAGCACGUGGUUUAAUUCGAUGCAAACCGAAGAACCUUACCUAGGGUUUGACAUGUGCGUGUUACUGAGGUGAAAGCCGAGGGACCAUAUCUUCGGAUGUGGAGCGUACACAGGUGCUGCAUGGCUGUCGUCAGCUCGUGCCGUGAGGUGUCGGGUUAAGUCCCAUAACGAGCGCAACCCUUAUCGUUAGUUGCCAGCGGGUAAUGCCGGGGACUCUAGCGAAACUGCCGGUGUAAACCGAGAGGAAGUGGGAUGACGUCAAAUCAGCACGGCCCUUAUGUCCAGGGCUACACACGUGUUACAAUGGCCGGUACAGAGGGCAGCUACCUGGAGACAGGAUGCGAAUCUCGAAAGCCGGUCUCAGUUCGGAUCGGAGUCUGCAACUCGACUCCGUGAAGCUGGAUUCGCUAGUAAUCGCGCAUCAGCCAUGGCGCGGUGAAUUACCGGUUCCCGGGCCUU
Molecule: ribosomal RNA, 468 nt
Filed under: uncultured Sphingobacteriales bacterium
Lineage: Bacteria; Pseudomonadati; Bacteroidota; Sphingobacteriia; Sphingobacteriales
Description: bacterial SSU rRNA
Rfam family: Bacterial small subunit ribosomal RNA
Source: RNAcentral